Molecule: non-coding RNA, 74 nt
Organism: Planctomycetes bacterium SM23_65
Lineage: Bacteria; Pseudomonadati; Planctomycetota
Source: Rfam
GGGGGCGUAGCUCAGACCGGGAGAGCGCCGCGUUCGCAAUGCGGAUGUCACGGGUUCAAAUCCCGUCGCCUCCA